RNAcentral lists this ribosomal RNA (484 nucleotides) under uncultured bacterium. RNAcentral's name for it is "partial 16S ribosomal RNA". It matches the Rfam family "Bacterial small subunit ribosomal RNA", at positions 30 to 507 of the family's 1533-position model. The record is from RNAcentral.
AUUGAACGCUGGCGGCAGGCCUAACACAUGCAAGUCGAGCGGAUGAAGGGAGCUUGCUCCUGGAUUCAGCGGCGGACGGGUGAGUAAUGCCUAGGAAUCUGCCUGGUAGUGGGGGAUAACGUCCGGAAACGGGCGCUAAUACCGCAUACGUCCUGAGGGAGAAAGUGGGGGAUCUUCGGACCUCACGCUAUCAGAUGAGCCUAGGUCGGAUUAGCUAGUUGGUGGGGUAAAGGCCUACCAAGGCGACGAUCCGUAACUGGUCUGAGAGGAUGAUCAGUCACACUGGAACUGAGACACGGUCCAGACUCCUACGGGAGGCAGCAGUGGGGAAUAUUGGACAAAGGGCGAAAGCCUGAUCCAGCCAUGCCGCGUGUGUUAAGAAGGUCUUCGGAUUGUAAAGCACUUUAAGUUGGGAGGAAGGGCAGUAAGUUAAUACCUUGCUGUUUUGACGUUACCAACAGAAUAAGCACCGGCUAACUUCGUG